ACAUUUGAUAAAUUUCAUUUGCAAUUGACAUUAAAUUCAAUUGCAAUUGCUAUUGCACUAACAUAGCAAACGCAUAAAUCGACUAAAGUUUCGUUUUCUGUCUCUUUUGCUCUUUCAGUAACAGAGCACACCAAAUUUAUUUGCCUCGACAAAUGUAAAGUAAAUGCAAAUGCAAUAACAGAAAAGCUUUAUAGUCGCAUCUCGCUCUCUCUGAGUGAACGAACAAAUUCGCUCUAUCGCAUUUGUCUCUCUCCUCUCUUUAGCAAUGCCUUGCCAAAAGCAACGGAUCUUGUUUCGCACUUGUUUGCUGUACUCCCUUUGAUUUAGUCGUUUGUGUGUAUUGAAUAGAACACUUGGAGUAGCUGCGAUUGGAAUAUUUCGUAUAACGGUUGCUGGGAUUGUUUUUAUAGUGGAAUAAGCACAUACGCAAGUCUGUCAGUAAGUUGUGGUACAGUCGCUGCAGAGUCGUUGGUGCAGCCGGAAAUCGCUAGCAAUUGCACGUUCGGGUCUCCUGUGCGUGUCUUCCAAAUUUUGUUUGUCUAUGUUUCUACAUUUUGGAAAUGCGGCAACAGCAACAACAAGAACCACAACAACAACAGCAGCGGCAGAAGCAGCAGCAGCGCUGCGACUGUAGAAUAACAAAUAAUUAGCAUUAACCACGCAAUUGACUGCAGUCGUGGCAGAGACUGCGGCAGAGGCAGCGGCAGCAAAAACGGCGAUUUGAGUGCAAUGUGCACAGCUCAAGCAGCAUAAAUAUACGAAACGCACACACACACACACACACGCGUACACAAAUAAAUGCGUACAAGCAUAGGCGAAGACGGAGACGAAGACCACGAAAACAGACGCGAACGCCAAUCAAGCGAAGAACAACAACAACAACAGCGCAGCAUAAGCAGCGGCAGCAGCAGCAGCAAAAGCAACAAAGAUAAUACAUUUUUGGAAAUGUCAACAAAACGAAGAACGAAAACAAAUUGUGUAAAAGUAAAAGAAAAUGCCAAUGUUGUGUGAGGAGAGGCAAGCGCAAAAGCGAGUGCGAGCGAGAGCGAGUGCGUGAAUGCGCCAGCAUGGGACGUGGGCGCAGUGCUGCGUUUUAUUUAUUUAUUUUUUUACUUGAUCAGCGAACGCAAAGAUGGCGGCGUUGGAGCUGCGCAUACGAAAAGGCAAUUGGUAAAAAUGCAAAUAAUUGAAGAGUCGAGAAUGCUAGUUCAAUUUGACGUGUUCAUUCGGACUUGUUUAUGGCUUUCGAACUAGAACAGCUUAACUUAAUUAGGUUUUAUUGGACUCUAUUUUUAAUGGCAAUUAAUUACAAAUAUAUUUAUUAAGAAUUC
Molecule: long non-coding RNA, 1331 nt
Organism: Drosophila mojavensis
Lineage: Eukaryota; Metazoa; Arthropoda; Insecta; Diptera; Drosophilidae
Exons: 2
Source: RefSeq, a predicted model, not a curated record